GACGAACGCUGGCGGCGUGCUUAACACAUGCAAGUCGAACGGAAAGGCCCUGCUUUUGUGGGGUGCUCGAGUGGCGAACGGGUGAGUAACACGUGAGUAACCUGCCCUUGACUUUGGGAUAACUUCAGGAAACUGGGGCUAAUACCGGCUAGGAGCUCCUGCUGCAUGGUGGGGGUUGGAAAGUUUCGGCGGUUGGGGAUGGACUCGCGGCUUAUCAGCUUGUUGGUGGGGUAGUGGCUUACCAAGGCUUUGACGGGUAGCCGGCCUGAGAGUGUGACCGGCCACAUUGGGACUGAGAUACGGCCCAGACUCCUACGGGAGGCAGCAGUGGGGAAUAUUGCACAAGGGGCGGAAGCCUGAUGCAGCAACGCCGCGUGCGGGAUGACGGCCUUCGGGUUGUAAACCGCUUUCGCCUGUGACGAAGCGUGAGUGACGGUAAUGGGUAAAGAAGCACCGGCUAACUACGUG
Molecule: ribosomal RNA, 468 nt
Filed under: uncultured bacterium
Lineage: Bacteria
Description: partial 16S ribosomal RNA
Rfam family: Bacterial small subunit ribosomal RNA
Source: RNAcentral